RNAcentral lists this ribosomal RNA (441 nucleotides) under uncultured bacterium. RNAcentral describes it as "partial 16S ribosomal RNA". It matches the Rfam family "Bacterial small subunit ribosomal RNA", at positions 338 to 795 of the family's 1533-position model. The record is from RNAcentral.
CCUACGGGUGGCAGCAGUGGGGAAUAUUGCACAAUGGGGGAAACCCUGAUGCAGCGACGCCGCGUGAGUGAAGAAGUAUUUCGGUAUGUAAAGCUCUAUCAGCAGGGAAGAAAAUGACGGUACCUGACUAAGCAGCCCCGGCUAACUACGUGCCAGCAGCCGCGGUCAUACGUAGGGGGCAAGCGUUAUCCGGAUUUACUGGGUGUAACGGGAGCGUAGGUGGCAUGGUAAGCCAGAAGUGAAAACCCAGGGCUCAACCCUGUGGAGUGCUUUUGGAACUAUCAAGCUAGAGUGCUGGAGGGGUAAGCGGAAUUCCUAGUGUAGCGGUGAAAUGCGUAGAGAUUAGGAGGAACACCGGUGGCGAAGGCGGCUUACUGGACAGAAACUGACACUGAGGCUCGAAAGCGUGGGGAGCAAACAGGAUUAGAUACCCUUGUAGUC